UGCCGCUUCUGCGCAUGCGCAUGUCGGGCACCCUCGCCUCCCAGGCUGCGCCUGCACUUUUUGCGCAUGCGCCGUCGGGUUUGCUUCGCGCAUCCCGCGCGUGCGCCUUGUGCGUCAAUCGUGCUUUCGCGCAUGCGCACUGAGCCAUUUCAUAGCCGCCCAAGCGUCUUCAUCUCACAUCCGCGCAUGCGCCUUGUCUCCCCGGAAGCCUCCGCGCAUGCGCCUUGCGUCUCCACCGCGUCUCCGCGCAUGCGCCUUGUGCCCCCUCCAUUACGAAGCAGCCCAACAAUUUUGGGGGGGGGCGGGGAAGAAAGGGUGACAUAAAUGAAUUUAUUAAUUGAUUUUGCUUUAAUUAAUUCUUUUGUAUUAAUUAACCCCCCCCCAAUCCCAAGCCCCAACCUUACAACCUCUAUGGGGUCGCAGCCCCCAGACCCUAUAAGGUCAAGGGGUCGUGACCCCUGGGGGUCAAAGGUCACGGGGUCAGCCCCUCUGGGGGUCAAAGGCCGUUUCCAAGGGGUCAGGGGUCAGUCCUAUGGGGGUCAAAGGUCAGCCCCAAUGGGUGUCACGGGGUCAGCCCCUAUAUAGGGUCAGGGGUCAGUCUUACGGGGCCGCAGCCCCCAAACCCUAUGAGGUCAAGGGGCGGCGGAACCUGGGGGGGUCAAAGGUCACAGGUGUGGGGUCAAAGGUCAGCCCCACACAGCACUCAGGCUCACGGUGUCAACCCUAUGGGGUCAGGGGUCAGCCCUACAGGGUCACAGCCCCCAGACCCUGUAAGGUCAAGGCUCGUCCGCCCUUGGGGGGGGUCAUAGGUCACGGGUGUGGGGUCAAAGGUCAGCCCCACACAGCACUCAGGCUCACGGUGUCAACCCUACUCGAGGAAGAUGAAGGUGAGGACGGUGUGGGGCCCCAGGCGGGCGUAGUACGGGGUGAAGCCCUUCCACAGGCUGAAGAAACCCUCGUGCCGAAUCACCUUCAGCAGCACGUCCUGAAGGGGUCAAAGGUCACGGGGUCACCGGGGUCAGAGGUCGCAGGGGGGGAGGGGUCGAGGGGUCAUGCGGUCCAGGGGGCUGAGGGUCGCGGGGUCAAUGGGGCACGGGUU
This 1099-nucleotide long non-coding RNA is filed under the name Chrysolophus pictus (golden pheasant). RNAcentral describes it as "lncRNA (ENSCPIG00010004762.1)". Lineage: Eukaryota; Metazoa; Chordata; Aves; Galliformes; Phasianidae. The record is from RNAcentral.